AAUGAACUUACAUUGAAAACGAUUACAAAUAAAGGGAGUGGAUGUAGAUGGGUACAAUCAUUUGUCAAGACUGUCAGAAGGUAAUCGAGCAUUACGAUAAUGAGAAGGUGGCUACUCUUUACAGCACAUGUCCAACAUGCAAUAAACCGAAAGAACAAUAGGGGAUAAAAUAAAAAAGAACCAAGCGCCGGAAAAGGCGGCUUGGUUCUUUUUU
Molecule: small RNA, 214 nt
Filed under: Halobacillus sp. BAB-2008
Lineage: Bacteria; Bacillati; Bacillota; Bacilli; Caryophanales; Bacillaceae
Description: SR1 sRNA
Rfam family: SR1 sRNA
Source: Rfam by way of RNAcentral